AAGCAACUGUUUUUUUCUAUAUAAAUUUCUUUCAGCUAUAAGUUAGAACAUUUAUAAAUGUAAUUUUAAUUUAUUUUCUUGAUUUGACAAAAAAGUGCAGGUUAUAAUUGUAAAAACUACUUGCUUUACUAAAUUUGGUUUGAAAUUGUUUUAUAUAAUAACGGUAACUAAUCUAGCAACAAUAUGCUAGUAUUAGGAGCAUAACGGCCAUUUUACAUCAUUAGUCGAGUAUGUAGCUUUUUAAAAAUUUUUUCAAAAUAUUAAUACAAUAAAUACAGCUCUAAAGAUGGAAAUACGAGUACUUGACGUUUUGAAUUACAAUUUUUCAAACUGAAGCAAGACAAGAUCAUUGUUAACAGAUAUAAUAACAUACCACAAUGUUUUUAUUUUAAUUAAAUUUUUUCUAUACUUUUGUAAUUUAUAUACCUAUGGUUGAGUGAAUUCAACAAUGAAUAUUGCAUUCUAAAAAGCUUGUCAAAAUGUGCAAUCGUACAUUAAUGAUUAACAAUAAAUUAAUUUAUAUUCAUUUAGCUUAGAAUAUUUUAUUGCUCAUUUUUUCCUCAUUAGUAAAACUAAUUAAUUCUCUCAUUUAUAUGUGCAGUAACUUAGUAAAAAAAUGAUUUUAAAUAAAUGUUAUUGUUAAAAGGUGACUUUAAAAAAUUUUUUUCGUCAUUAAUAUUUAUUAGUAAAUAAUCUCAAUAAUUUUAUCUCACACCGAUGACUUGAAUUUUUUAAAGGUCCGAAUAAUCUGGAUCAAUCUAGUUCAAAGAAGCUAUAUAAUGGAUCCAUACAUUACGUUUUUCAACUGUAUUUCUCACUUCAACACUAUUUACACAUACACAAAUACAUGUGCAUGCAUACAAUGUAUAUAAAAUGUAAGAGAAACGAAACGUGACAAAAGGUCUAUGUCAAAUUAUGUUUUCAGCUUAAAUCCAAGUAAUUCUGAUAACACAGCCGAAAGUGCAGAAAGUAGAACCACUUUGGUUAUUGUGUACAAAUAAGGAUUGGCAGAAAGACCAGAAAUUUUAAAAGGACUUUCCAGUUCCUGAAAUAAAUACAUAAGUUAUUUGAUAUUAAACAAUUAAUAAAUUGUUUGAUGAUAAAUUAAUUUAUUUAAGAAAUAUUUCCUUGUUAGCUACCUUGAUCAAAUCAGCAGCUAAUUUUAGCACACUAUUAGCGACCAUGAGUUCAUCCUUUUUAUGAGGCUUUUGCUCUAUUUGUAGAUAAAGAUUGAUUUGCUCAGUUAUCAAUACAGAUAAAUUUCUAUAUUUUUUAUUAAUUUUUGUACCAAGUGUCAUAAAUCUUAGAAUAUAGAUUCCGAGAGCAAAGCUCCAAAACAGUGCUUCUAUAUUGUAUCUUGAAUGAAGACUCUCUAAAUCCUACAAUAAAUAUUGUUUAUUUUUCAAAA
Molecule: long non-coding RNA, 1408 nt
Organism: Chelonus insularis
Lineage: Eukaryota; Metazoa; Arthropoda; Insecta; Hymenoptera; Braconidae
Exons: 2
Source: RefSeq, a predicted model, not a curated record